RNAcentral lists this long non-coding RNA (1341 nucleotides) under Vitis vinifera (wine grape). Its description in RNAcentral is "long non-coding RNA (VVIN_LNC002555)". The record is from RNAcentral. Lineage: Eukaryota; Viridiplantae; Streptophyta; Magnoliopsida; Vitales; Vitaceae.
CCACACCCAUAUUCUUUAUUUUCUCCCUUUUUCUCUCUGACUCACCCCUCAUAUCACUAUCGUGGCCCCCACGAUGCCCAACGACCAUCUUGCGCCGGCUACCCUCUUGUUUCUUUUUCGUUUUUCUUCUUCUCUCUUUCUUUCACUCUCUCUCUCUCCCUCAUCCCCAUGAUGGCUGCCCAUCUCACCACCGCUACCGAUGACGCUACUAUAGUGACACCAUUGCUGGCGAUGCCACCGUCGACUGACAGUCUCCUCCACUGUCGGCGACUGCCCCCCACUCCGGCCGUAUCUUCCAUGUCUCUAUAUUUCUCUCUCUUUUUUUUCUCCACCCCGACACUCAUUCUUUCUACUUUCAUUGUAGAGGUAACCAUUUCUUUCUUCAUUUUGAUUUACACAGUACUUUGUUUGGAGAUUUUGGUUUUGUUUGUUUGGGCUUUGGAUUGUGUUUACGGGCUUUAAGGAUGUUGGGCUUACAUGAUUGUUGAUUUUGAUUGCAGAUUUGCAUGAUUUGGGCUUACAUGUUAUUAGAUAUUGUUAUUAGGCUUAUUUGAAUUUCUUUUAUUUUUGUUUUUCUUGAUGUUUGGAUGGGUGUUUUGGCACUGUGCCGAGAGUGGAGAAACAUGGAAGCAGUUGGGGCAAGUGAAGAAGGGCAUGGGUUGAACUCACCACCGUACCCUCCUAAUAGGUAACCUGACCAGAUUCGACUUUGGUUUUUCAUAGUUUUUUUCAGAUAAGGAGUCACAGAGUUUUCUUUAUUAUUUUGUUUUUCCUUAAAAAAUAAAAUAAAAAUAAAUGGCGAAUACAAGUUUUUUUUCUAAAAAAUCAAAUUUUCACAAAAAAAAAAAAAAAAAAACUAGUCACCCAUCAAGUGAAAAAUUCAGGGUCCACAUACAAUUAACGUUUAUUAUUAAAAAAACUAAUUAAUAUUUAUUUUUAUUAAUCUUAAUAAAUAAAUUUAUUAUUUAACAUUCAUAUUUAAAGUAUUAUAAAUUUAUAAGAUAACCUUUAAAUAUUUACUAUAAAAAAAAUGAAUCAUUGGUUUGAACUCAGGCUAUUAAAUAUAUUAUUAUUAGAUGUGGCUAAACAUGAUAAAAAAAAGAAUAAUAAAUGAACUAUUUUGACUUAAUACUUAAAAUGAUUUUUAGCUAUAGGUUACGAUGUUAAGUUAUUUUAUCAAACAUAUUUAAUCUACUCAAUAAUUUAAACAUAUUUAAUUUAUUUGAAAACUUAAAUUACUUUAGGUCAUUCGAUUGAUUUACCAAAAUCAUCUACAUUUAUUUAGAAAGUCACAAUAUAUAUAUAUAUAUAUAUAUAUAAAUAAAGAUAGCAAUGCCAUAA